Molecule: ribosomal RNA, 348 nt
Filed under: uncultured bacterium
Lineage: Bacteria
Description: bacterial SSU rRNA
Rfam family: Bacterial small subunit ribosomal RNA
Source: RNAcentral
AGAGUUUGAUCAUGGCUCAGGACGAACGCUGGCGGCGUGCAUAACACAUGCAAGUCGAGGGGUAAGGUCCCGAGUAAUCGGGAUACACGUCCGGCGCACGGGUGAGUAACGCGUAAGCAACCUACCUUCAACAGGGAGAUAGCUCCCGGAAACGGGAAUUAAUAUUCCAUAAUAUUUUUUUAUGGCAUCAUAGAAAGAUUAAAGCUCAGGCGGUUGAAGAUGGACAUGCGUGACAUUAGCUAGUUGGUAAGGUAACGGCUUACCAAGGCUACGAUGUCUAGGGGGUCUGAGAGGAUGAUCCCCCACACUGGUACUGAAGACACGGACCAGACUCCUACGGGAGGCAGC